Molecule: ribosomal RNA, 484 nt
Filed under: uncultured bacterium
Lineage: Bacteria
Description: partial 16S ribosomal RNA
Rfam family: Bacterial small subunit ribosomal RNA
Source: RNAcentral
GACGAACGCUGGCGGCGUGCUUAACACAUGCAAGUCGAACGAUGAACCUGGAGCUUGCUCCGGUGGAUUAGUGGCGAACGGGUGAGUAACACGUGAGUAACCUGCCCUUGACUCUGGGAUAACUGCGGGAAACUGUAGCUAAUACCGGAUACGACCCUCGGCGGCAUCGCCAGGGGGUGGAAAGAAUUUCGGUCAAGGAUGGACUCGCGGCCUAUCAGCUAGUUGGUGAGGUAACGGCUCACCAAGGCGACGACGGGUAGCCGGCCUGAGAGUGUGACCGGCCACACUGGGACUGAGACACGGACCAGACUCCUACGGGAGGCAGCAGUGGGGAAUAUUGCACAAUGGGCGCAAGCCUGAUGCAGCAACGCCGCGUGAGGGAUGACGGCCUUCGGGUUGUAAACCUCUUUUAGUAGGGAAGAAGCGAAAGUGACGGUACCUGCAGAAAAAGCACCGGCUAACUACGUGCCAGCCGCCGCGGUAA